GCAGCUCAUAAAGCGACAACCAAGUCCAUAUCAAACUGCUAAAUAAUUGCAAUAACAAAAUUAAUUGUGAUGUUACUUAUCCAAAGUUGGAUUAACCUCUCUAUUUCACACUCUAAUUUCUGGUUGGAUCACCACGUAUUUUCACAUUCUUUAUUCACAGAUUUUUUCUUACUCGCUACAAUUUGAUUUUGGCUUCUACGAGCUACAUAGAAUUUUGUUAGAGCAGGAUACAUUAUUGUUGUUGUUUACGUUCUCCACGUCCUUAGCCCUUCUGACGAUUUGAAUGAAACCAAAGCACUUAAUUCUUCAUUAUUGCUUUCCUCUUACUAUUUCACCAAACCAUAAACCAACCCACCUUCUCCUUAAAAAAAAUAUAUAAAAUACUUAAAAUUAAAAAAAAAAAGAGAGAGAAAGAAUCAGCAGUCCACAAACACACACAUUCUCUUUCACUAGAAGAUAAAAACCAACAGUGAGAAAAAUCAAGAACAAAAACGCGUAAUGUAUAGUAAUAAUUAAAACAACCGAUGUCUAUUAUGAAAUGAGCAAAAUUAAAGUCAAGUUUACACGUUAGAUGGUUGACUUAAAUUUUUGAAAUGAAUAAUAAUAAUAGUAAUUCCAAGAACUAAAACAAGCAACUACCGCAGUACAGCGAAUGACGUUAUCUGAAAAUAAAAAUCAUUUAACACAUUAAUUAAACUAAAAAAUAAAAAAGAAAUGGUAGUGUAGGACAACUUGAAGGAACCGACACACACGUAUACACGAGAAAUAUUAAGUUGAAAAGGUAGAAAAUAUUGAGAAAAUAAAAAUAGAUAGAUUCGAUAAUUCUAAAUAUAUAUGCAUGAAUAAAAAAGGAAAAGGAAAAUUUGGUUUGGACACGGUAACAGUGUUCUCUCACCAAAGAGGUCGCAUUCUGGAGUCGCCAGUUUUCAACUCACAACAACCUUCUUUUUAAACGAUGGAUUGAUCCAUUUGAGAUGCAUUCACUCUCACUCACGCGCCUUCGCUGUGUUUCCUUGUUUUCUUUCUCUCGUUCCGUGGGAACCGCUUCCUUGUCUCCUUCUUCAAUUUCUCCCUUUCUUGCAAUUUCAGUCUUAUAAUAACAAUGACUCUGUAUUAUUCCUAACCUAAAUUAAACCUAGUCUUCUGUUCUGUUCCGUUGCAUUUCACUGUUCUCCAAAAACAACCAUGCCGUUUCCCUGGAAGAAGAACCGCGUCCCUCGAAUCUCCCAAAUCGUCGCGGAUCUCCAAUCGCCAAAACGAGGCGGCUCCCUCGUCGUCGAGACCGGCUUCCCCACCUCCCUCAUCGACCUCUUCGUAAAAAACCGAAGCCGUUUUAGAAAACACCGCACAAAAAAACCGCCACCGCCCGAAGUCCCCGAUCCGCCGCCGCCGCCUCCCUCUCCGGCCAACUCUCCGCCGCCGCCGCCGUCGCAACCCGAUCCUCGUCUCCCGAACCCUCGGACUGAACAGAACGUCGUCGCUUCGGUUUCGGAUCAGGUCGGGGAGUGCUCUUUGAACGUUAUUUUAGUUGUGAAGAUUCUGAUGGUGCUGAUUGUGGUCGCGAGCGUGAAGAGGCUCACCGUGGGAAUCACCGUGUCGACGUUCGCGCUUCUGCUUCUAGAAUACGCGGGGCGGCGCGUGGUUUCGGGUUCCGUUGUGGAAUCGUGGUUCCGGAAGGUUCGGGUUCUGAAGAAGGAGCGUGUUCGGGGGAGUGGAUUAACUGACUUGAGUCAAUUGACCUUUUCCGAGAGUUUUUUAAUUGAUGAAAUUGAGGUUGUGAGUGAUGUGGGGAUUUGUUGUCAAAUGCGUUCUGUCAGUGGUGACGUGGCAUCAGAAAUAGUUGAGGAUUGUUCUUCAGAUGUUCUUGAAGUUUCUGAAUACAAGAUUAAAGGGAGUAGAAGUGGUAGGUUUGGGUCGAGGAUGGUGAAGAAGCUUGUGCCUAAGAAGUUUCGUGCCCCCAGGAAAGAAAAAAAGGAUAAGGGGAAUAAGGAAAUUGAGUAUGAAUCGGGUAGUGAAGUUUCCAGCGCCGUGGAAGAUGAUAAGUUACCCAUGUUAGAAAUUGAAGAGGAAGAUAAGAGCGAGAAUACUGAACAAGCUGAGGUUGAUUGUGGCAUCACUUGUUCCUAUAAUGGAAAGAGAGUGGCCAGAGUUGGGAAUUCAGGUUCUUCCACGGUUAUGGUUCUAGUUAUGAUUGUCCUUGUUGGACUUCUUCUGGGUCGUUUCCCAGCUUUGAUGCUUUCAAUUUCAUGGUGUUGCACGAUGAAAAUAGUUAGAACAUUACGGAGAUCACUCAGAGUGUCUCUGAAGAAGUGCUCUGUUUCAAACUCUUGA
RNAcentral lists this long non-coding RNA (2331 nucleotides) under Vigna radiata. RNAcentral's name for it is "long non-coding RNA (VRAD_LNC010630)". The record is from RNAcentral. Lineage: Eukaryota; Viridiplantae; Streptophyta; Magnoliopsida; Fabales; Fabaceae.